RNAcentral lists this ribosomal RNA (506 nucleotides) under uncultured Glomus. RNAcentral's name for it is "SSU rRNA". It matches the Rfam family "Eukaryotic small subunit ribosomal RNA", at positions 569 to 1077 of the family's 1831-position model. Lineage: Eukaryota; Fungi; Glomeromycota; Glomeromycetes; Glomerales; Glomeraceae. The record is from RNAcentral.
AGCAGCCGCGGUAAUUCCAGCUCCAAUAGCGUAUAUUAAAGUUGUUGCAGUUAAAAAGCUCGUAGUUGAAUUUCGGGAUCAGUUCGCUGGUCGUGCCUCUGGUAUGUACUGGUGUUACUGGUUCCUCCCUUCUGACGAACUGUCAUGUCAUUUAUUUGGUGUGGCAGGGAAUCAGGACUGUUACUUUGAAAAAAUUAGAGUGUUUAAAGCAGGCUCGCGCUUGAAUACAUUAGCAUGGAAUAAUGAAAUAGGACGUUCGAUCCUAUUUUGUUGGUUUCUAGGAUUGACGUAAUGAUUAAUAGGGAUAGUUGGGGGCAUUAGUAUUCAAUUGUCAGAGGUGAAAUUCUUGGAUUUAUUGAAGACUAACUACUGCGAAAGCAUUUGCCAAGGAUGUUUUCAUUAAUCAAGAACGAAAGUUAGGGGAUCGAAGACGAUCAGAUACUGUCGUAGUCUUAACCAUAAACUAUGCCGACUAGGGAUCGGAUGAUGUUAUUUUUUAAUGACUC